RNAcentral lists this long non-coding RNA (2095 nucleotides) under Theobroma cacao (cacao). RNAcentral describes it as "long non-coding RNA (TCAC_LNC001186)". Lineage: Eukaryota; Viridiplantae; Streptophyta; Magnoliopsida; Malvales; Malvaceae. The record is from RNAcentral.
AAAAUUUCCAAACCAGCUGGAAUGUAAUAUAUAAGCACAAAACACAUAAUUUGAAAUUAAAAAUAAAUUUGGAUGUCUAAAACAUUCAUUUAAAAAGAAAUUAUGACUAUUAGAAUAAAAUUAAAAUAUAGAAUAAAAUAUUUAAUUUUCUAAUAAAACAAUAUUUUUAAGAACACUGCAUAAAUAAUUUUUAUAGCGUAAAAGCAAAAUAAAUUCCUACAUACAAUAGUACAGAUAACCAAAGUAUAAAAUUUAAUUUACAGUGACACGUGGGCCCACGAUGACUAAAAGUAUCAAAAGAAAUGAACCUAUAGUUUUUGGAUGUGGUAAGUCCAACUGUAGUCUUCAUCGAUAUCAGUUAUCUACAAUCUAUUCUGAGCCUAAAAUGGGUGGAAAGGAGGGUGGUGAGAUUAUGAAAUCCCAGUGAGUAAACAAACAUCAUUCAAAAUAUUUAAAGUCGAGCAAAAUGAGACUAUUAAAACAUUUCAUAAAACUGUAAUUUAUCACCUUUCAACUUAUUUCAACCAAAUGAAAUCAAUUUAUUUAAAUCAAGUAAUCAGUAUGGCUUAUGAAUUUCUUAAAAGCUUGGCUCAUGCCAAAAAUUAUUAUCAUACUCAGUUAUUUGGGAUACCUUGGCCGAGGGCUAUCCCAAUUGAGUCUGCCAAGGCUAUUAAAAAGUCAUGUUUUAUUUUGAAAACAUAGUCGUUCCUUGGCAUUGGCCGAGCUCCCUCUCACGUGGUGGUUUGGCGUGAAGUGAACUCUAAAAGUUAUACCUCGGGAGUUACCCUACUCGCCUCUCCAACCGAGGUAAAAUAUAACGGGGUUUACCGUGCCCUUCUAAUAGGCUAGUCCACGAAAAUUCGCCUACUGCAGUAAGCUAAUAAUUAUCCCACCAAUCAAUAAAAGUCAAUAACAUGAUAUGGCAAUUAUUAUAAUUCACAGCCAUUCAAGGCUAAAUACACAUUUCAUAUAUUUCAACACGAAUAUCAAUUCAGCCAUUCAUGCAAAUAUUGUUAUAAGCCAUUUGAUUCAAAUAAUAAAUUUUACAACAUAACAAGUGGUCUCCAAUUACUCUAUUUUUCAAAAUCAUUAUUCAAUUUCAAGACAAUUUAUAAAAUCUUUUCAUGUAAACACAUUUUGUUUGUAAAACACAAAGAUUUACCAUUUAAACUCAUUUUCAUAAAAUUUCACCAAAACCGAUUAAAAACAUACUUUAGAUAAUUAAAAUGAUGGUAAGGUUACUCACAGUACUAGGAGUUCGAUAUACUCCUAUUUUCGGUCUUCGAGCACAAUCUCUUUACCCUUGUUAGAGGGCUCACCACCUAUACAUCAUAAGUGACACGAAUUUCAAUAAAUUGUGUCAAUUUAUCAUAAACUAUUUCAGGCUCUAUAAAUCUGCAUGAAUGCACGAAAUGCGAUGCAAAAUGUCCGAAUAGCCAUUUAAAUACGGUAUUCGAUCUAAUUUGCACUAUUCUCGAUGUAAUUGGCUAAAACCUCCAAUUUAACUCCAAAUCAAUUUCUUUCACUUUCUACACUCCAAUUAUACCUAAAUUACCUCAGUGACUGUGAAUGAGAUUCAAUUUAUCAGUCCCAGGUCAAUAAUCACACAUGUCUAUACAUUAGGUAAAAAUUCAGAUUUUCACACCAAAAUUUCCCAUUUAAUUUCUAGCCUCACCAAACAUCAAAUAUCACCAAAAUAUCAUGAAAUAUCAUCAAUUUCAGCCACAAUAUCCUCCCUAGAAAAUUCGGCCAAUGAUGGUAAUGGGGGAAAAUGAAUUCUUUUCUUGUUGUUUUGUUUCUAAAUAUGCUAAACUAACUAAAAACACUAACAUAACUUAAAAUCAAAUCAAUCCAACAUCUUUCUCUCUCCAUACCCAUUUUGACCAGCCAUGAAUUCACCAUGAAAACAUGAAAUCUAACCAUAAAAAAUAAGGAGAAAUGCAUGGGAAAGGUAGAUCACAAGUCAAAAUCAAGAAAUUUUACCUUUGAUUGCUUGAUUCCUUGAAAUCCACUAAUUUUCCUUUGAAUUUUCCCACUUAGGGUUCUUGUUUUUCUUUUCUCCCUUUGUUAUUCCUUUGCUCUUGGUUUGGCCGGC